Long non-coding RNA from Dromaius novaehollandiae (emu), 680 nucleotides. The record is from Ensembl. Lineage: Eukaryota; Metazoa; Chordata; Aves; Casuariiformes; Dromaiidae.
AAGGCACACCAUAUGAGUAAGGAGAGGCCUAGACACACAGCCAGUUACAGGAUUAGUAAGUGAGUUGGGAAACCCUCCAAAGCAAAGAGAGGCUUGCAAAGGUUAAGUAUGAAAUACUAUAUAUGAUCUUGUUUCUUAUUUAUUUCUUUUAGACUAAAACUCUUCAAGCAGGAUGUGUCGAUUGCCCAUCAGCUUUGACAAAGCAAAUCUCUGCAGUGAGUCCUCUGUUACCAGUACAGGUGACACUGAGACAAGAUUCUGGAACGUGGUCUUCCACUACCCUCAGUACAGCACCACUGGCAAACCCUCCCCACUCUCCAGUUUUGCUGCUAACACCUGCAAUUCAAGUCAUAACAAACUACACCUAUGAAUUCUCCUGGAUCUUCACAGUUCCAGGAAUCUCAUCAGCAAGAAGAUAGAUGAAAUAUUUUAAAAAACAGAAAAGAAAAGCAAAAUGAUCAGCAGAGAAAGAAAGAGCCAGGGCUAGAUUUAUAAAGAGUCUCAAGCACUGUGAUAAUGAAUAACACAACACCUAGGGUUCAGUUGCCUGGCAGUUGCCUGGCCCCAGGAGUGGAAACUUCAGUCCUGAGUCGGACGUUUAUUGUCUUACACAAUGUGAGGAACAUGAGGUACCUAGGGGUGUGACUCAGCUAUAAAGAUAGCAUUAAAUGUUUUUAAUU